AUUAUACACAAUUUAUCUGCAAAUAACAGUAUUUCCAUUACUUCAAGUAAUGGAAAUACUGUUAUUUGCAGAUAAAUUGUGUAUAAU
Non-coding RNA from Paramuricea clavata, 87 nucleotides. The record is from the annotation of a GenBank genome assembly. NCBI's taxonomy places the organism in Eukaryota, Metazoa, Cnidaria, Anthozoa, Malacalcyonacea, Plexauridae.